GAGAGGAUGAUCAGCCACACUGGAACUGAGACACGGUCCAGACUCCUACGGGAGGCAGCAGUGAGGAAUAUUGGACAAUGGGCGAAAGCCUGAUCCAGCCAUACCGCAUGAGUGAUGAAGGCCCUUGGGUUGUAAAGCUCUUUUAGUGGGGAAGAUAAUGACGGUACCCACAGAAGAAGUCCCGGCUAACUCCGUGCCAGCAGCCGCGGUAAUACGGAGGGGGCUAGCGUUGUUCGGAAUUACUGGGCGUAAAGGGUGCGUAGGCGGUCCCGUAAGUUAGGU
RNAcentral lists this ribosomal RNA (282 nucleotides) under uncultured Neorickettsia sp. RNAcentral describes it as "partial 16S ribosomal RNA". It matches the Rfam family "Bacterial small subunit ribosomal RNA", at positions 294 to 593 of the family's 1533-position model. Lineage: Bacteria; Pseudomonadati; Pseudomonadota; Alphaproteobacteria; Rickettsiales; Anaplasmataceae. The record is from RNAcentral.